GAUAGCGGCCAUAGCUGUCGGGAAACACCUGGUCUCAUUCCGAACCCAGCAGUUAAGCUGACACACGUAGUAUGCUGUACUUGGGUACGCGAGUCCCUGGGAACCAUACCAAGCUGCUAUCA
This 122-nucleotide ribosomal RNA is filed under the name Methanoregula boonei 6A8. Lineage: Archaea; Methanobacteriati; Methanobacteriota; Methanomicrobia; Methanomicrobiales; Methanoregulaceae. The record is from RNAcentral.